Molecule: long non-coding RNA, 782 nt
Filed under: Fukomys damarensis (Damara mole-rat)
Lineage: Eukaryota; Metazoa; Chordata; Mammalia; Rodentia; Bathyergidae
Description: lncRNA (ENSFDAG00000027404.1)
Source: RNAcentral
GUUCGGUGGCCUGCCUUGCAAGCGCAAGGACCGAAGUUCAAUCCCCGGUACAAAAAAAAAAAAAAAAAAAAAAAAAAAAAAAAAAAAAAAAAAAAAAAAAAAAAAAAAAGGCGGCGCCCCCCCCCAAGGCCCAGCCCUAGCGCGGCUGUGGGCCGAGUGAGGAGGUGGGCGCAGGGCCGAGGAAGGAUAUAUCUUAGUGGAGAUGGCACUGCCUGGGGCUGGGGCCGGGUCACGUCCGGUUUGCUGUGUUUCAGGACUGACCCAGGGGAAAUCAAAUCUAGGCUUUGGGACUUCUGAGCCCUCGUGCACAGAGAGGUUGCCGGUGAACUUUAAAACCAUCUCUGCUGUGCUUUUAAAAGCCUGAAGCUUUCUCUUCCGGAUUUCUUUUCUCCUAAAUAGGACAGAUCCGCAAGGAUGGGAUGAAGAGGAAAACACCAAAAAUAGCUCUCCCCGAUUAGCGGCAGCCACGCACAUCUGGGGCCCGGAAAUAGUUUCAGAGGGUGCAGAGCAUCGCUGCGGUGCAGGACUUCAGGCAGCACCCCCGGGUUCUACCCAUCCACGUCUGCGAUAUUUAAUAAUGACCUUCACUGGGGCCACGGAGCGUCGUCCUCCUGUUCUCUUGUGGGGACCGCACAUCCUGUUCAUGAGUGAGUCCCGUGAAACGCUGAGGCACCCACGUCAAGUAGUUCUGUAGCCUGUGGCAGACCAUCCGACAUCCAAUCUUCCCCUAGGCCAGGGCACAGCCAGGGCAAGCUGUCAAAAGCACAAUGUCAAAGAGUAGA